CAUGUACAUGGAAGAGCACAACGUAUUGAGAUCACUGCAAAGUGGGUUUUGCGUGUAUGAUUCUAGGGGUUUUAAUUAUGAUAAAAUGGGAGAGGCCCUCGAGGAAUUGUCGAGUUGGAUGAUCGAUGGGGUGCACCAUAAUCAGCCGUGCUUGAGAUCAGGGGAUCAUACUUUGCUCAAAGAUGAUGCAGAAACCGCAGCUCUAAGAUCGUCUUCAAAGUUUGUGCAGAGGAGAGUGAAUUGUGCUAUGGUGGUGGUUAAUAUAGCUGAAGUUCAU
This 277-nucleotide unclassified non-coding RNA is filed under the name Hevea brasiliensis (rubber tree). The record is from RNAcentral. Lineage: Eukaryota; Viridiplantae; Streptophyta; Magnoliopsida; Malpighiales; Euphorbiaceae.